AGGUGGGCUGGUGGAGAACACCAAGGCGUUCGAGAGAACCCAGGUUAAGGAACUCGGCAAAUUGACACCGUAACUUCGGGAUAAGGUGUGCCAGAGGUAGGUGAAGGGCUUUCGCCUGGAGCCGAUUCUGGUUGCAACAAAGCGGCGGUAGCGACUGUUUACUAAAAACACAGGGCUCUGCGAAACCGUAAGGUGACGUAUAGGGCCUGACGCCUGCCCGGUGCCGGAAGGUUAAGGGGAGUUGUCAGCGCAAGCGAAGCGACGAACUGAAGCCCCGGUAAACGGCGGCCGUAACGAUAACGGUCCUAAGGUAGCGAAAUUCCUUGUCGGGUAAGUUCCGACCUGCACGAAGGCGUAACGACUUCCGCGCUGUCUCGACCUGGGACUCGGCGAAAUCGACAUGGGGGUGAAGAUGCCCUCUACCCGCGGCAAGACGGAAAGACCCUGUGAACCUUUACUGUAGCUUGGCAGUGGUAUUCGGUUCAUUCUGUGUAGGAUAGGUGGGAGCCUAUGAGUCGGGCACGCUAGUGUCCGAGGAGGCACCGUUGAAAUACCACCCUGGAUGUGCUGGAUACCUAACCCCUUCGGGGGGACGCUGCCUGGUAGGCAGUUUGACUGGGGCGGUCGCCUCCUAAAGAGUAACGGAGGCGUGCAAAGGUUCCCUCAGCCAGAUCGGAAACCUGGCGAAGAGUGUAAUCGUAUAAGGGAGCUUGGCUGCAAGACCGACAGGUCAAGCAGGUGCGAAAGCAGGCGAUAGUGAUCCGGUGGUUCCACGUGGACGGGCCAUCGCUCAUCGAAUAAAAGGUACUCCGGGGAUAACAGGCUUAUCGCGCCCAAGAGUUCAUAUCGACGGCGCGGUUUGGCACCUCGAUGUCGGCUCAUCGCAUCCUGGGGCUGGAGCAGGUCCCAAGGGUAUGGCUGUUCGCCAUUUAAAGCGGUACACGAGCUGGGUUUAGAACGUCGUGAGACAGUUCGGUCCCUAUCUGCCGUGGGCGUAGGAAGGUUGAGAGGAGCUGUCCUUAGUACGAGAGGACCGGGAUGGACGUACCUCUGGUGUUCCAGUUGUCGUGCCAACGGCAUUGCUGGGUAGCCACGUACGGUCGGAAUAACCGCUGAAAGCAUCUAAGUGGGAAAUCCUCCUCGAGAUGAGCCUUCCCUGAAGGACCCAGAAAGACUAUCUGGUUGAUAGGCCGGAGGUGCAGGCCCAGCAAUGGGUACAGCUUACCGGUACUAAUCGUCCGAUCGGCUUU
RNAcentral lists this ribosomal RNA (1250 nucleotides) under metagenome. RNAcentral describes it as "bacterial LSU rRNA". It matches the Rfam family "Bacterial large subunit ribosomal RNA", at positions 1661 to 2925 of the family's 2925-position model. The record is from RNAcentral.